UGGGGAAUAUUGCACAAUGGGCGCAAGCCUGAUGCAGCCAUGCCGCGUGUAUGAAGAAGGCCUUCGGGUUGUAAAGUACUUUCAGCGGGGAGGAAGGUGUUGUGGUUAAUAACCACAGCAAUUGACGUUACCCGCAGAAGAAGCACCGGCUAACUCCGUGCCAGCAGCCGCGGUAAUACGGAGGGUGCAAGCGUUAAUCGGAAUUACUGGGCGUAAAGCGCACGCAGGCGGUCUGUCAAGUCGGAUGUGAAAUCCCCGGGCUCAACCUGGGAACUGCAUCCGAAAGUGGCAGGCUUGAGUCUUGUAGAGGGGGGUAGAAUUCCAGGUGUAGCGGUGAAAUGCGUAGAGAUCUGGAGGAAUACCGGUGGCGAAGGCGGCCCCCUGGACAAAGACUGACGCUCAGGUGCGAAAGCGUGGGGAGCAAACA
This 427-nucleotide ribosomal RNA is filed under the name uncultured bacterium. Its description in RNAcentral is "partial 16S ribosomal RNA". It matches the Rfam family "Bacterial small subunit ribosomal RNA", at positions 355 to 774 of the family's 1533-position model. The record is from RNAcentral.